This 411-nucleotide ribosomal RNA is filed under the name Escherichia coli. Its description in RNAcentral is "bacterial SSU rRNA". It matches the Rfam family "Bacterial small subunit ribosomal RNA", at positions 238 to 641 of the family's 1533-position model. The record is from RNAcentral. Lineage: Bacteria; Pseudomonadati; Pseudomonadota; Gammaproteobacteria; Enterobacterales; Enterobacteriaceae.
GGAUUAGCUAGUAGGUGGGGUAAAGGCUCACCUAGGCGACGAUCCCUAGCUGGUCUGAGAGGAUGACCAGCCACACUGGAACUGAGACACGGUCCAGACUCCUACGGGAGGCAGCAGUGGGGAAUAUUGCACAAUGGGCGCAAGCCUGAUGCAGCCAUGCCGCGUGUAUGAAGAAGGCCUUCGGGUUGUAAAGUACUUUCAGCGGGGAGGAAGGGAGUAAAGUUAAUACCUUUGCUCAUUGACGUUACCCGCAGAAGAAGCACCGGCUAACUCCGUGCCAGCAGCCGCGGUAAUACGGAGGGUGCAAGCGUUAAUCGGAAUUACUGGGCGUAAAGCGCACGCAGGCGGUUUGUUAAGUCAGAUGUGAAAUCCCCGGGCUCAACCUGGGAACUGCAUCUGAUACUGGCAAGC